CUGCUUGGAACUUUUACGUCCUAAAAGAUCACUUCUAACGCCCUUGGAUUGCCCUUUUGUACUUGAAAACACUGUCAAAACCACAGCUUGCUUUGUAGUCUUCCCACGUCCCAAGCUGAGUAUCCCUUUCCUGAUUCACCAUCAAACCUUGCUCGCCACUUGGAGGUUGUUCGUUGAAGCAGCUGCACUGAAAAUACCACCAGUCAUGCUCCGCAUUAUCAAGGCAGUUUUCGUGGGAAGCCGUCGCGAAAGUGAUAAAGCUACGAAUCGAGGCGUUCAAAUCUGUGGAGGUUGACGACCAGGUGCACCCAGAGAAGGUAAAGGGAGAGACUAGAUAGAAGGUUGUACUUACGAUAGUCUGAUAGGGCGUGCAAGCUCCUGCAUCGCCAUCACCAUCUCGGUAAUCGGCCGAAGGAAUAUAUUGCUGCUCCGUCGAGCAAUGGCAUAUUCUGUCUUUAUAAUUGAAAAAGGCGUAUCGACUGAGGCCAUCUUCAAGGCAAUUGACUCACAAUGCAAUCUUCAUUGUUGUUUUCCAUUGAUAUAUCCAUAUACACAUAAGGGAGGGAAAUAGCGAAGUGCGCAAUGAGAGAUGAUACCGUCGUAGUCUGAACCUCAUAUGCUACAGUCACAGGAUUACGCUUAUGUGUCGUCGGCCAUCACACCUGACGAGCUGCUUUUACACAGUAUCAACCGAGCACGGACCCUUAAUACCAUCAUAUGGAAGGGGGUAAGUACGAUAAAAGGAUUUCGCAAGUUCCAGAGCCGUGAAGGACCGUGGACGAGCAUCAUACGUACGCAAAGUAGUGGUACCUCUUCUGUGUCCGUGCACCCAGCAUAAACCAUGCACGAUACAAGGAGGCGAUCGCGGGAGAUGAGAAGAACAGACAUUCAAGAACAGGAAGAAAUACAAUAAGACACAAGGAACACAAUAUAACAAAGAAAUAUCCGUCGGUUGAUGAUGGGACAUUCGUGUUGUGCCUGA
RNAcentral lists this small RNA (982 nucleotides) under Cryptococcus neoformans H99. RNAcentral describes it as "Cryptococcus neoformans var. grubii H99 hypothetical RNA". Lineage: Eukaryota; Fungi; Basidiomycota; Tremellomycetes; Tremellales; Cryptococcaceae. The record is from RNAcentral.